GGCCAGGUAGCUCAGUCGGUAGAGCAGGGGAUUGAAAAUCCCCGUGUCGGCGGUUCGAUUCCGUCCCUGGCCACCA
This 76-nucleotide transfer RNA is filed under the name Thiohalomonas denitrificans. RNAcentral's name for it is "tRNA_Phe_GAA". It matches the Rfam family "tRNA". From Rfam's summary of the family: Transfer RNA (tRNA) molecules are approximately 80 nucleotides in length. Their secondary structure includes four short double-helical elements and three loops (D, anti-codon, and T loops). The record is from RNAcentral. RNAcentral also lists the same sequence under 31 other names. Lineage: Bacteria; Pseudomonadati; Pseudomonadota; Gammaproteobacteria; Thiohalomonadales; Thiohalomonadaceae.